RNAcentral lists this long non-coding RNA (1605 nucleotides) under Chrysolophus pictus (golden pheasant). RNAcentral describes it as "lncRNA (ENSCPIG00010007781.1)". The record is from RNAcentral. Lineage: Eukaryota; Metazoa; Chordata; Aves; Galliformes; Phasianidae.
CGGCGCUGCCCCGGCCCCGCCCGGUGCCGCCGAUUGGUGCGGAGCGGCCCGCGGGGCGGUGGCGCUGAUACAAAACGCGCCGCGAGCGCCUCUGCCCCGUCGGAGCAGGUCGGGGAGGUAAGUGCGGUGUGCUGCCGGGAUCCCGCUCCUCUCCGGUCGCGGGGAGCCUGUUCGUGGGGCGCUGCGGGCUAUGCGAUCUCUCGGCUAUGUGGUCUGUUGGCCGCCAGCCCGGGACGGCUCUCGAAGCUUUGCCCGGUGCGCGUCCGCAGCCCCUCACUGCCCAAUGCUUCCCUGCAGCCAUGUCGGACGAGCUGAGCGAUCUGCUGCGGGAGUUCGAUGAGGUCGUGGAGGACUUCGACAGAGGCCCCGCGAGUCAGUAUGAGCGGCACUUGGAGGAGCUGAAGAGGAAAGCGGGGCACAGUGUGUACGACAGCGGCAUCGAUGAGCUGGAGAGUACCAGCACGUCCCCAGCAAGCAGCUUGAACUCCAGUGAGGAAGAUCUUAACACCCACACUGGUCCUUACUCCUCUAAAGCUAAGCUUGGAGACACGCAGGAGCUGGAGGAGUUCAUUGCGGAUCUGGACAAAGUAUUAGAGGAGAUGUGAGAUGUGGUUUUGGUGGAAAGUUUGAAGAAGGAUCCACAACACCUAGUGCCUCCCUGAUGUACCCAAUGCUUCUGUGUCCCUGCCAUCCUGCAGCUGAGAGGGUAACGGCUCCUCUGUGCCAUCCCAGCCACAAACAUGGACUGAUCCUGCCUUGACAACUGCUUCUUGCUCCAGCAGCAGGAGAACUGGGAUGUAUUUCUGGUGCUGUGGGGUUGGGGACAGCUGCGCUUGUGCCAGUCUCAUGGCACUGGCAAGCUUAGGCCUGUAUGUUCAGCUCUGCAUGUUCAUGGCACCCUCAGCCAAGGAGAAGGAGGGGCUCCCCAGACCCUGGGGUGUGGGCAGGGCAGGCUGGCAUAAAGGCAGUGGGAGCCUGCAGAAGGUCCUCAACAUUAUUGUGGACACAGCCAUGGAGUGCUUUCAUCCUUGCCUUGGGCCUGCCACGAGAUCUGCUGGCUGGCAGCUGUGAAUGAUGACAUGGUCAGCUCUGCUUUAGUUGUUGGGCUUCAGUCUGCUUCCAUGUGCAGGACAGGACUCUGCUGGCACUAAGAUAUGAAACCCUCUUGGUGAGGGCAUCAGGCUAUGCCCUGAAAGAGGGGCUGGUGACUGCUGACCUAGUGGAUCUGGGGAGUUUAUCCUCUGGAUUCAACAGUGGUAUGAUGGUGACAUGGGUGAAGAUCAACUCGCAGUGCUUCACUGACACCUUGGUGUCCUCUCCUGGUUCAGGAAGCUUGUUCCUGCAGCAAUAUGUCAGGCAGUGGCAGCCAUUGCUGGCCUUUUGCUUCUCAUGGGUAUCUGCAAAUAAGGCCCCUGCCUGGACCUCAAGUGCCUCUACCCUGACUUCUGCUGUCAAUACUGUAACAAUGAUGAUGUACACUGUGCAGUUAAUAUAUUUUUAUGAAUGGUAUUUUAAGUCUCUGAGUUUGUCUCUGUGUUUAUGACCUGUUCCUGUGAGCUUAUUUUAUCUCUGGAGCUGCCUGCAAAGAGAUACUUCUCGCAGCCC